This is a long non-coding RNA of Vidua chalybeata, 805 nucleotides long. RefSeq lists it as uncharacterized. The transcript has 4 exons. The record is from RefSeq and is a predicted model, not a curated record. Lineage: Eukaryota; Metazoa; Chordata; Aves; Passeriformes; Viduidae.
UUUGUGCUGGAAGGGACCUUUAAAGCUCAUCUAUUCCAACCCCUCAGGCACUCCCGUUUGAUCUGGGGUGGGUCUCUCUAGAGGGCCCACAGGAGCUUCAUCCGUUCAGUAGAGCAUCUGCCCAUGCUUCAUUAACUUGCCUGUGAAGAUGUUACGGGACAGAGUGUCGAAAUGAGGUGAUGCUCCAAAUUUGCUACAGUGAGGAGGGAAACUCUGUGCUCCAGCAACGAGGAUGCUCCAGUGCUGGUGGCAGCAUGGCUCUGACCUCUGCUACAAAUGUCCACUGGGAAAGCAAAUCCCUUCCCUCCACGUUCCCUCCGUGCAGCUUUGCUAAUUAUUCAUGAGGAGUCAUUACCAGGAGUUCUCUUCUCUUCAUGGUCAGUGAGUGUCCCUGCAUGGCUGAUAAAAUUCCAUCAUCCCAUGGUGAGAUGCUCUGCCCAGGGGGAGGAACCAAACAUUCCUACCUGGAUACAAUCUGACCCCUGGAACACCACAGCACCUUUUGCCCACUGCAUUCCCAGAGGAGCAGCUUUCUUCCCCACUGCAUUCCCAGAGGAAGCCCAGGCCCAUCCACACCAGCCCUGGAGCUUCAGAGGAAAACUCCAGCCUUGUCCAGGAUCCCUGCUCCAGCAGAAGCACAGCUGGCACUGCAGGAGGGCUGAGCCCCCAUGGAAUGGCACUGCUGCCACCACCCUGACCCACAGGCUGCCAGGGCCUGUUCUCACUCUGGCAGUGUUGUUUUGUAUUACUGCAUUGUUUAUUUUUUCUUUUAAUUUUUAUUUUUUUUUGUAAUAAAGAACUGUUA